This 73-nucleotide transfer RNA is filed under the name Caudoviricetes sp. Its description in RNAcentral is "tRNA-Gln". It matches the Rfam family "tRNA". Rfam says of the family: Transfer RNA (tRNA) molecules are approximately 80 nucleotides in length. Lineage: Duplodnaviria; Heunggongvirae; Uroviricota; Caudoviricetes. The record is from RNAcentral.
AAAGGGUUAGCACAAUUGGUUAGUGCAAUAGACUUUGACUCUAUUGACGGGUGUUCAAAUCACUCACCCUUUG